RNAcentral lists this ribosomal RNA (946 nucleotides) under Peniophorella praetermissa. Its description in RNAcentral is "eukaryotic LSU rRNA". The stretch from base 554 to 708 matches the Rfam family "5.8S ribosomal RNA". Lineage: Eukaryota; Fungi; Basidiomycota; Agaricomycetes; Hymenochaetales. The record is from RNAcentral.
UUCCCUGUGGUGUUUUUNNNACAAACCCCAUUUCUGUUUUUUUUUUUUUAUUUAAAAAACGGGCCCGGGCCCCGGCCCUUUUUUUUACNUUCAAGGGGUACAAAAAACGUAAAACGCCAAAAGCCUCAAACCCCAUUUUUCCCAAGCCACCCCCAAACUACACCCCUGAGGGUGUUGGGUUGUAUCUCCCGACAUUCAUAGGUGCACAGUGGAAGGAAAAAAACCAGGCCGGCCCCCCCCCCGGGGGGCCCCCCUUCCCCCCCCCCCUCCCAAAAUCCCGGGACUUUCCUCCCCCNAUAAGGGGGCCUGCGGAAGGAUCAUUAACGAGUUUUGAAGUGGGUUUGAUGCUGGCCUUCCCAGGCAUGUGCUCGCCCUGCUCUCAUCCACUCACACCUGUGCACCUAUAAAUGUCAGAAGAUUCAUCCCCUAGACUCUUAGGGGUGUAGUUCGAGCUAGCUUGGACUAUUGGGUUGAGUCUUUUGCGUUUACCUUUUUAUAAACUCUUGAAUGUAAUAGAAUGUCCAUGGCCUACGGGCUUUUAUAAAUGAAAUACAACUUUCAACAACGGAUCUCUUGGCUCUCGCAUCGAUGAAGAACGCAGCGAAAUGCGAUAAGUAAUGUGAAUUGCAGAAUUCAGUGAAUCAUCGAAUCUUUGAACGCACCUUGCGCUCCUGGGCUAUUCCUAGGAGCAUGCCUGUUUGAGUGUCUUGAAAUCAUCAACCCCAGUUGGAUUUUAAAUUUGACUGGUGGCUUGGACUUGGGGGCUUGCUGGCCGUUUUGAUUCGGUCUGGCUUCCCUUGAAUGCAUUAGCUUGGACUUGUUCCUAAGGCUUCAUGGCGUGAUAAUUAUCUACGCUUUGUACUGUCUGUGGAAUAUCUAUGGGUCUGGCUUCUAACUGUCCUCUGGACAAUCUUUCAAUCUUGACCUCAAAUCAGGUAGACNCCNC